This is a long non-coding RNA of Gymnodraco acuticeps, 674 nucleotides long. RefSeq lists it as uncharacterized. The transcript is spliced from 3 exons. The record is from RefSeq and is a predicted model, not a curated record. Lineage: Eukaryota; Metazoa; Chordata; Actinopteri; Perciformes; Bathydraconidae.
ACAGACACUUCUAUAUCUGUCUGAAAGAGACGUUGGGGCUGAAAAUGAGUUCUUUCCGCCAUCCUCUUCAGCUGGCUAAUCUAUACCUCAUGCAAUGGAAGUGAAUAUCAGUAAGGACUAUUCACCUAGAGUAACAGACCAGCUAAAAACCAGGGUCUCUAACUGACCUUUGUGAGCCAGCCCCUCACAGUGGGCCUGGUGGUGGUGGUCUCCACGGUAACGGGGCUGCUGGCCUGGACUCUGAGGAUGUUCUGCAGGACCCGGAUCCACUCCUCCAGGAUGUUGGGAGAGUCGGCGGUCAGAUAGAAGGUCUUCUUCUCUGUGAUCAGCUGAGUGGACGAAAAAAGGGAGAAAUAUGGGAAAAAUGCUUCAGCCGAGCCCGAGACUGAGAUAGUAUCAUCGUGUCAGAGGAGAUGAGAAUCAGCAUCCAGGGAAACAUUCCAGACCAACGCUAUACCUGAUGUCAUUUUAAGCUGCUCCUCUGACAGCAAAUCCCUAGAAGGAAGCAGCAGCCGGCUCACACUCACAGGAGAUUUGUAGUAGAGGAUCUCUCCGUUCCUCAGGAUGAACCAGCGGCGUUUCCAGGCCUUCACCUGACUGCCCAUCUUCAGCAGGUACCCCGACUUCUCCAGCAUCUCCUGCACACACACACACACACACAGCUCAGAGGUCAU